AUUGAACGCUGGCGGCAGGCCUAACACAUGCAAGUCGGACGGUAGCACAGAGGAGCUUGCUCCUUGGGUGACGAGUGGCGGACGGGUGAGUAAUGUCUGGGGAUCUGCCCGAUAGAGGGGGAUAACCACUGGAAACGGUGGCUAAUACCGCAUAACGUCGCAAGACCAAAGAGGGGGACCUUCGGGCCUCUCACUAUCGGAUGAACCCAGAUGGGAUUAGCUAGUAGGCGGGGUAAUGGCCCACCUAGGCGACGAUCCCUAGCUGGUCUGAGAGAAUGACCAGCCACACUGAAACUGAGACACGGUCCGGACUCCUAGGGGAGGCAGCAGUGGGGAAUAUUGCACAAUGGGCGCAAGCCUGAUGCAGCCAUGCCGCGUGUAUGAAGAAGGCCUUCGGGUUGUAAAGUACUUUCAGCGGGGAGGAAGGCGGUGAGGUUAAUAACCUCGCCGAUUGACGUUACCCGCAGAAGAAGCACCGGCUAACUCCGUGCCAGCCGCCGCCGUAA
RNAcentral lists this ribosomal RNA (506 nucleotides) under uncultured bacterium. RNAcentral's name for it is "partial 16S ribosomal RNA". It matches the Rfam family "Bacterial small subunit ribosomal RNA", at positions 29 to 523 of the family's 1533-position model. The record is from RNAcentral.